This 600-nucleotide ribosomal RNA is filed under the name uncultured bacterium. RNAcentral describes it as "bacterial SSU rRNA". It matches the Rfam family "Bacterial small subunit ribosomal RNA", at positions 338 to 1533 of the family's 1533-position model. The record is from RNAcentral.
CCUACGGGAGGCAGCAGUGGGGAAUUUUGGACAAUGGGCGAAAGCCUGAUCCAGCAAUGCCGCGUGAGUGAAGAAGGCCUUCGGGUUGUAAAGCUCUUUUGUCAGGGAAGAAACGGUGAGAGCUAAUAUCUCUUGCUAAUGACGGUACCUGAAGAAUAAGCACCGGCUAACUACGUGCCAGCAGCCGCGGUAAUACGUAGGGUGCAAGCGUUAAUCGGAAUUACUGGGCGUAAAGCGUGCGCAGGCGGUUUUGUAAGUCUGAUGUGAAAUCCCCGGGCUCAACCUGGGAAUUGCAUUGGAGACUGCAAGGCUAGAAUCUGGCAGAGGGGGGUAGAAUUCCACGUGUAGCAGUGAAAUGCGUAGAUAUGUGGAGGAACACCGAUGGCGAAGGCAGCCCCCUGGGUCAAGAUUGACGCUCAUGCACGAAAGCGUGGGGANCAAACAGGAUUAGAUACCCUGGUAGUCCACGCCCUAAACGNUGUCUACUGUUGUCGGUACUUAUGUAUUGUACGCAGCACGCGUGAGAGACGCGNGGAGCGCGCGAGAGUAACGUACGAAGAGUAGAGAGAGAGAGNGCGACGACGACGACGGAGGGAGGNG